GGCAAGAGAGGUAAGGACGGCCCACCAGGACCCUAUGGUUUGAAAGGAGAACAGGGAGAAAAGGGGAGACAAGGAUAUGAUGGAUUACCAGGAGAAACAGGCAGAACUGGAGACCCUGGUUUUCAGGGGAUAAGGGGUGACCUUGGAGAUCUGGGUCCAGAAGGAGAUCCAGAUGGUGGGGGUCAAGGUUGUCCUGGACCCAGAGGUGACCCUGGCCCACAAGGUCUUCCAGGAUUCCCG
This is a long non-coding RNA of Saccostrea echinata, 240 nucleotides long. RefSeq lists it as uncharacterized. The transcript has 3 exons. The record is from RefSeq and is a predicted model, not a curated record. Lineage: Eukaryota; Metazoa; Mollusca; Bivalvia; Ostreida; Ostreidae.